Long non-coding RNA from Myzus persicae (green peach aphid), 394 nucleotides. RefSeq lists it as uncharacterized. The transcript is spliced from 4 exons. The record is from RefSeq and is a predicted model, not a curated record. Lineage: Eukaryota; Metazoa; Arthropoda; Insecta; Hemiptera; Aphididae.
UCUUGUUCUUCAUCAUUACCAUAUUGCUCCUCCCAAAUGGCCAAGGCCAAAUCCUCAGGUACAAAGAAAUCUGCCUCAUUAUAUUCUUCUUCUGGAUCUAAUAACCAGCUUGAUGUUCAACGUCUGCUGGAACUUCUUGUUCAGGAUCAUUUACUGGAAUAUCAAAUAAUAUGUUAUGUAUAAAUUAUGGAAGGUAGUAUUAGUGGAAGAUUAAGUUAUAACUUACUUUCUGGAUUAUCAACAACAUUGUUAUUCAAUAGAAUAUCUUCAACAACCUCAACUACAGCUUCUCCCGAAAGAAGAUAUAUACAAUUUUUAUUUUUUAUCCACAUUUUACUAUUUUUUUUAAUUUGAAAAAUUAGUAAAAAAAACUCACCCAACAUUCUCCACAAAU